GAAGGUGUAGCUCAAAUGGUAGAGCGCAUGCUUAACACGCAUGAGGUCCUGGGUUCGAUCCCCAGCACCUCUG
This is a non-coding RNA of Vicugna pacos (alpaca), 73 nucleotides long. NCBI's taxonomy places the organism in Eukaryota, Metazoa, Chordata, Mammalia, Artiodactyla, Camelidae. The record is from the annotation of a RefSeq genome assembly.